Molecule: ribosomal RNA, 376 nt
Filed under: uncultured organism
Description: partial 16S ribosomal RNA
Rfam family: Bacterial small subunit ribosomal RNA
Source: RNAcentral
GUAGGUGGGCAAGCGUUGUCCGGAAACUAUUGGGGCGUAAAGCGCGCGCAGGGCGGUCCUUUAAGUCUGAUGUGAAAGCCCACGGCUCAACCGUGGAGGGUCAUUGGAAACUGGGGGACUUGAGUACAGAAGAGGAAAGCGGAAUUCCAAGUGUAGCGGUGAAAUGCGUAGAGAUUUGGAGGAACACCAGUGGCGAAGGCGGCUUUCUGGUCUGUAACUGACGCUGAGGCGCGAAAGCGUGGGGAGCAAACAGGAUUAGAUACCCUGGUAGUCCACGCCGUAAACGAUGAGUGCUAAGUGUUAGGGGGUUUCCGCCCCUUAGUGCUGCAGCUAACGCAUUAAGCACUCCGCCUGGGGAGUACGGCCGCAAAGGCUG